GUCGAGCGGACAGAUGGGAGCUUGCUCCCUGAUGUUAGCGGCGGACGGGUGAGUAACACGUGGGUAACCUGCCUGUAAGACUGGGAUAACUCCGGGAAACCGGGGCUAAUACCGGAUGCUUGAUUGAACCGCAUGGUUCAAUUAUAAAAGGUGGCUUCUGCUACCACUUACAGAUGGGCCCCCGGCGCAAUAACUAGUUGGUGAGGUAACGGCUCACCCAGGGAACCAUGCCUAACCCAACUGAAAGGGUAAUCGGCCACACUGGGACUGAAACACCGCCCAAACUCCUACGGGAGGCAGCAGUAAGGAAUCUUCCGCAAUGGACGAAAGUCUGACGGAACAACCCCGCGUGAAUUGAUGAAGGGUUUCCGAUCCAUAAAACUCUGGUCGUUAGGGAAGAACAAGUACCGUUCCAAUAGGGCGGUACCUUGACCGGUACCUAACCAAAAAGCCAGCGGUCUAACUACGUGCCAGCAGCCGCGGUAAAUACCGUAAGCUGGCAACUCGUUAGUCAGGAACUUAUUGGGCGUAAAGGCGCGCGGCAGCGCCGUUUCAUUAACGUCUGAUGUGAAAGCCCCCGGCUCAACCGGGGAGGGUCAAUGGGAAACUGGGGAACUUGAGUGCAGAAGAAGAGAGAGUGGAAUUUCCAACGUGUAGCGGUGAAAUGCGUAGAGAUGUGGAAGAACACCAGUGGCGAACGCGUACUCUCUCGUCUGUAACUGACGCUGAAGCGCGAAAGCGUGGGGAGCGAACAGAAUUAGAUACCUUGGUAGUCCACGCCGUAAACGAUGAAUGCUAAGUGUUAGAGCGUUUCCGCCAUUUAGUGCUGCAACAAACCCAUUAACCAAUCCCCCUGGCGAGUACGGUCGCAAGACUGAAAUUCAAAGGAAUUGACGGGGGCCCGCACAAGCGGUGGACCAUGUGGUUUAAUUCGAAGCAACGCGAAGAACCUUACCAGGUCUUGACAUCUUCUGAACUAGAUCGCUGCAUCAGCAGAUAGGUGCAGUGUCCACUAGUCGAUGAGUAGUCGACAGCACUGACUAGGUGGUGCAUAGUUGACGUCAGAUCGUGUCACGAGAUGUUGGGUUAAGUCCCGCAACGAGCGCAACCCUUGAUUUUAGUUGCCAGCAUUCAGUUGGGCACUUUAAGGUGACUGCCGGUGACAAACCGGAGGAAGGUGGGGAUGACGUCAAAUCAUCAUGCCCCUUAUGACCUGGGCUACACACGUGCUACAAUGGGCAGAACAAAGGGCAGCAAAGCCGCGAGGUUAAGCCAAUCCCACAAAUCUGUUUUCAGUUCGGAUCGCAGUCUGCAACUGGACUGCGUGAAGCUGGAAUCGUUAGUAAUCGCGGAUCAGCAUGCCGCGGUGA
This 1370-nucleotide ribosomal RNA is filed under the name Bacillus sp. (in: firmicutes). RNAcentral's name for it is "bacterial SSU rRNA". It matches the Rfam family "Bacterial small subunit ribosomal RNA", at positions 61 to 1365 of the family's 1533-position model. The record is from RNAcentral. Lineage: Bacteria; Bacillati; Bacillota; Bacilli; Caryophanales; Bacillaceae.